GCAAGUCGAGCGCGAAAUCCCUUCGGGGUGAGUAGAGCGGCGGACGGGUGAGUAACGCGUAGGAAUCUACCCAGUGGUUGGGGACAACCUGGGGAAACCCAGGCUAAUAGCGCAUACGCCCUACGGGGGAAAGAGGGUGCUCUCUUCGGAGACCUCGCGCCAUUGGAUGAGCCUGCGUCGGAUUAGCUAGUUGGUGGGGUAAAGGCCUACCAAGGCGACGAUCCGUAGCUGGUCUGAGAGGACGAUC
This 247-nucleotide ribosomal RNA is filed under the name uncultured bacterium. RNAcentral's name for it is "partial 16S ribosomal RNA". It matches the Rfam family "Bacterial small subunit ribosomal RNA", at positions 57 to 305 of the family's 1533-position model. The record is from RNAcentral.